CCUUUUAUUUCUUCAUUCUUCUUCAUUCACCUUAUUCUCCAUCUAUCUUUUCUCUAAUUCUUGAUCCAACACCAUGAAUUUAUAAAUUUUGUUCAACUUUAUCACAAUUCAAACCUUCUUCUCAUCUAUCUUUUAUAUUACUUGAGUUUGUGGGUAUUUCAAAGAAGGAAAACUUGGCUCUUGAUCUAGUGAAUGUUUGGGGCGAAAAUCAGAUCAAAGGGGUGACUUUUGAGUCUUUUCUUGAGUAAUUUCAUUUCACUGUUCAAAUUCCGGAUUUAUAGAAGAAUCCUUCUGACUUGAGGUUGAGUUUGUUUGACUUUAUUGCUGAUAAGGGACUUGAAGAUAGUUAGCGCCAGUUGGGUUAAAGAGUGCGUUGGAUCCCUUUUGAUUUAAUAGGACUUUUAAAAAGACUUCCGCUGUUAUUCAUUUGAUUAUAAGAUUUAUGUUCUGGUUUGUAAUAAUUAUUUUACAUUCUAUUUAGUUGGUCUGUAAUAAUUAGUUAAAACUUUUGGUUAUUGUUUUAGUUAGAACCAUUAGCCUUGCGGUUAUUAUUAAUAAUUAUCGCGGCGUAGCACCUUUGGAUUUCCGAGUUUAUUUUUAUUAAGUUGAUUUUAGAAGUAUUGGAAAUUCAGGGUUGUUACA
Molecule: long non-coding RNA, 642 nt
Organism: Beta vulgaris subsp. vulgaris (sugar beet)
Lineage: Eukaryota; Viridiplantae; Streptophyta; Magnoliopsida; Caryophyllales; Amaranthaceae
Exons: 3
Source: RefSeq, a predicted model, not a curated record